Molecule: non-coding RNA, 763 nt
Filed under: Cyrestis thyodamas (common map butterfly)
Lineage: Eukaryota; Metazoa; Arthropoda; Insecta; Lepidoptera; Nymphalidae
Source: RNAcentral
UAUGUUUUUGGAAAUUUGAUGUAUAUUUAUUCUACAUAUAAAUUUUAGUAUUAAAUUUUAAUUAUUUUAAUAAUAAUUAAUUAUAAAAGUAGUAAUUAAUAUUAAAAAUUUAAGAAAUUAAGAUUUAGUAAUAUAUAAAUUAAUAACUAAUUUUGUGCCAGCAGUUGCGGUUAAACAAAAUAUUAAAUUAAAUUAUUUCAGUAUAUAAUUAAUAAAUUAUUAUUUAAAUUAAAUAUUAAAUUUUUAAGUGAAAUUUUAAUUUAAUUAAAUUUUAUUUUUUUAUUAUGAUUUAAUAAAUUUUAUAAUAAACUAGGAUUAGAUACCCUAUUAUUAAAAAAUUAAAAUAAAAUACUAAAAUAGUAUAUAUUAUUUAUUGAAACUUAAAUAAUAUGGCGGUAUUUUAGUUCAUUUAGAGGAAUCUGUUUAAUAAUUGAUAAUCCACGAAUAAAUUUACUUAAUUUAUAAUUUUGUAUAUCAUUGUUAAAAAAAUAUUUUUAUAUAAAAAUAAUAUUUAAAAAUUUAUAAUAGAAAUUAAUUCAGAUCAAGAUGCAGAUUAUAAUUAAGAAUAUAAUGGAUUACAAUAAAUAUAUUUAUAUGAAUAAAAUAUUGAAAAAUAUUUUUGAAGGUGGAUUUAAAUGUAAUUUUAAUUAGUUUAUUAAAAUGGUUUUAAAUUAAAAUAUGUACAUAUUGCCCGUCACUUUCAUUUAAAAAUUGGAAUAAGUCGUAACAAAGUAGAGGUACUGGAAAGUGUUUCUAGAAAGAU